AAUAAACCAAGUAGCAAAUGAUGUGUUUAGUAUAAAUAAAUAUAAUGAGAGAGAGAGAGAGAGAGUUUGAUUGGGGUGGCAUUGACUCCUCCCAACAUAAAGACAUGAUGACCCAAUCAAGGCAAAAAAGGAGGGCGUGUUGGUCACUCUCCAAUGAAUGCAAAGUGAUAAUGAUACGGUAAGAGGGUCCCUCCCAGAGAGAUUCCGUUGGAGCGUGAGGACCAAACUCUGAGGGAGGCAUUGAAUUAAGUAAUGAUAAGCAAAGCAAAUGUACACUGUGCUUGGGAAAGAAAUGAAAGCUCCUAAAAUUGAAAGUAAAUACUACUUAAUAGAGUGCAGUGUCAGAGGUUAGGGGCAAGUGAACUGUGAACGUGCACUAUUUUUGUAUAUUUGAAGCAUGGAUCUCGAUCCCCUUCAACUCAAGUAGCACACAAACACAAACAUAACAUAACAUAUAGGGUCACUACUUCCCCACACACGCUCUCUCGCGCUUGUUAAUGAUACUACUACAUACCAUAGUUUUAAAGGACAAACAUAAAGAGAGAAGGGUCUACAUAACACAACACAUAAGGGAAGUGGGGGCAUACUUUGCUAUAGUGAGUUAGUGAGUGGGAGAGAGAAAGAGGGGAAAAUCUUGGCUUGAUAGUUGAGAGAGAGAGAGAGAGAGGGGUAAGACUAACAUGAGAAAUAGCUCAGCUCUCAACUUCAGUGGCCACACUUGCCCAGAACCCCAUAAAACACAGCAGGGAUAGGGAUGCUGAGGCAAAUGAUGCUGCUUGAAUCUGCAAUCAUGUUAUAAACAAGAGGUGGUUUGGCUUUUGUAGUAAGUUGACUAGCAAUACCAUUUGUGAGAGAGGAAACAAGUGGCUUCAGAGGGGAGAGAAAGAGAGAGUUUAUGUAUGCUUUCAUGGGUAAGACCGUACUCUUGUGCUCAGAUUUGGAUUUGAAAUUUAAUUUGGAAAAGAAGGGGGAUAGAUUUAUUAGAAGGAGGUUAAUAAGAGGGUGGGAGAAAUAAAAGGAAAAGAGUUAUUUGGUGUUGUUUGUAAGUUUCUUCUUUUGUUGUUUCUGCAACUUUUGCACUCAUUACUUCUUUAUAGAGAAAUUCAACCACCAUCUUAUGUCCCUCUCCCUUUACUUUAUUUUCUCCUUCUUCCUUUUAUCAAAGGUAACUCUUGGCAUCCUCCUUGUUCCUCCUAUUAAUCAACCACACGGGAAUACUCCUUUUAACACUUCACUUUCUUACUUCCCCUUCUCCCUUUUCUUCUUUAACUUUCUUUUCUUCUGUUGUGCUUUGCAGGAAUAUGAGAAAGAAACUCACUGUGCCACCACUCAUCUCAAGUUGGUAGGUAGGGCUUGUGUGUGGUUGAGAAAGAAACUUUACUUGUAAUAGGAGUGAGAAAGAUGGCCAGUGGAGAGUAGAGAGAGAAAGACACACACAUACACUCAACUCACUACAAAAAAAAAAAAAAAGAUUUUUAAGGAUAGGCUAGUUUGUUGUGGAACAAAGCAACAAUCUUUUUUACUCACCCAUGGAUGGUUACGAAGCUACAAGGAUUGUGUUCUCAAGGAUCCAAAACUUGGACCCUGAAAAUGCUUCCAAAAUCAUGGGUGUGCUUCUACUUCAAGACCAUGGUGAGAAGGAAAUGAUUAGAUUAGCAUUUGGUCCUGAAGCUAUUGUUCACUCUGUGAUUGUCAAAGCCCGCAAAGAGUUGGGCUUACCCUCGAACUCUCCGCCAACACCUUCCACUCCUCCUUCUCCUUCUCCCUUCCUUUCAAGACAAAACUCAACUUCUUCAAGACUCAGUGGCAUCAACCUUCCUCCUGCAGUCACUAUUCCAAACCCUUCUUCUACUUCAGCUUCUUGGGCUACUAUGUCUGAUGAUUUGAUGAGUCCCAACAACUUGGUUGUUGGUUCUUCCACUUCUUCAUCUUCCUUACCCUUUUAUGCAAACGGAGGCUCAGAUCCAAUUGAUGAUUUCCAGCUUCAAGACCAGCUUUCUUUCUUGAAUGAUGGCUCUCCAACAAGUGCCACUCUUGGCCACAAGAACGCAGAUUUGUUUUACCCUUCUCAUUCAGACUUGGCUUCAAGUCCAACUGGUGCAGCUGCUGAUCCUACUCUCUUUCCUUCUUAUGGUUGGGGAGGGUCUCUGCACCGUAGGAGUUGUUCUGUCAAUGAUGCUUGUUUGGGUUCUGAGGACCCUAAUUCUGGCUUGGGGUGGAAGCCUUGCCUUUACUUUGCCAGAGGGUACUGUAAAAAUGGCACUAGUUGUAGGUUCCUUCAUGGGGGACUUGGAGAUGCUGAUGGUGCUGCAAUGGUUGGCUCUCCUAGCAAGAUUGAGAUGAUGGAGCAGUGCCAUGAGCUCUUCAGAUCCAAGUCUGCUCAGCAACAAAGACUGGCUGCUGCUUCUCAGCUCAUGGCAUCUUCUCUUCCAUACUCCCCAAAGUGCAUGAAUUUCCUCUUGCAGCAGCAGCAGCAGAAUGAUACUCAAAGAGCGGCAGCUGCAGCUCUGAUGAUGAGUGAGGAUUUGCAUAAGUUUGGAAGAUCCAGGCUUGAAAGGAAUGAUUUUUCUUUGAACAGUCCUGGGAUGGUGAACCCAGCUUCUAGGCAGAUCUACUUGACUUUCCCGGCAGAUAGCACUUUCAGAGAGGAAGAUGUUUCAAAUUACUUCAGCAUUUAUGGCCCAGUCCAAGAUGUGAGGAUCCCAUAUCAGCAGAAGCGCAUGUUUGGUUUUGUUACCUUUGUUUAUCCGGAGACAGUGAAGCUCAUUCUAUCAAAAGGAAACCCUCAUUUUGUGUGUGAUGCUAGGGUGCUUGUUAAGCCUUACAAGGAGAAGGGCAAAGUGCCAGACAAGAAGCAGCAGCAACAGUUGGAUAGAGCAGAUUUUUCACCAUGUGGCACUCCUACAGGACUAGAUGCUAGAGACCAAUAUGAUCUUCAACUUGGAGGCAGAAUGUUUUACAAUACUCACGACAUGCUGUGGAGGAGGAAGUUGGAGGAGCAAGCUGAUUUGCAGCAAGCUCUUGAACUCCAAAGUAGGAGGUUAAUGGGUCUGCAACUUCUUGACAUCAAGAAGCAUCACCAGCGCGCACUCUCCACUGGAAGUCCAAUUCCAUCCCCUACCCACUCUCCUAACAUGUUCCAUCAAAAUCUUGUUCUUCCUUCAUUUCAUGGCAGUUCAGAGGCCCCAGAGGAGAGUGGUUCAAGUUCUGCACCAGCUAGUACUGCAUCAGUUUCUGCUGGUCAGCAGCAAGUCAACAUUUCAGCUGGCAAGGAAGUGGUGGUCAAUGGAGAGAGUGGAUGCAAUGAAGGCAAUGGCAAGCUGAACUCUAGCCAUGAAGAUCGUGAUUUGCAAGAAUGUUUGGAGCAUAAUCUCCCUGAUAGCCCUUUUGCUUCCCCAACAAAAGCUGCUGGAGACUUCAUCAUGGCUCCCUUCUCCAAUGGACCUAAUGAGGCCAUUGAUUCAGAUCCCUCAGCUGCAUCUGCCAACUCCAAAUUUGGUACUAACACAUUACUUCCAGCAGCAUCUGCUUUAGACAUGGGGUCAUUCAAAUCCUAUAACUGCCAAAUACCAAGGUAGUUCUCUUCUGGGCAUGGAACUAUUGGGAUGUUUGCAGGCACCGGUGGAGCAAUUGGCAUUUAGUUUCCUGAGGCUCAGGAAGUGAAAGGUGACUAAACAAACUCGGCACCCAACAAAAUCUGUAGAGAAUCACCACCACCACCACCAUGACGGCCAUCACCAUCAAUAAUCGAUACUAUACUACUUACUACCAUACAAAAUGCAUACGUAAAAAGCAGUUCAGUAAGGGAAAGUGGGGCAUGCAUUCCCCUUUUCUUUUCUUAGCAUUAUUGUACCAUUUUCUUUCUUCUCUCAUAUCUGUAGUAGCUGAACCACAGGUUAAAAAUAACACAAAAAAUCAUCAGAGUCAGUGUGUAGUAGGGAACUCUUGGCACUGUAAUUUGUUUCUUCUCCUACCCUUUGGAUGGAUGAUGGAUGUAGUAGUGUAGAUUGUUAGUCCUAUGUUGUUACAGGUAUAAUCUGAAGUGUUUGUACAGCUGGAGCAUUAUUACCCAGAGAAAGCAUGCACAGAUGAAGUGGUAAAACCGUAAAUGCAGAGAGUUGUAUAAGUAGAAGGCUGAUUGAGAUGGAUGGGUUCCCCCCAUGAUGGGUAACUUGAGUUUGAAGGCCAGAAAUGAGGAGGGGAAUGUAUAAUUGUUAAUCUUAGCUGGGUUAAAAGAUGAAAGUUGAGAUUUUUACCUUGGAUGUAAUGUUUGUACUUGUUCUACCACUUAGUUGUUAUACACAGUUAUCAAACCCCCUUAAAUUACCCAGACAGAAAAGAGAAAGAUUUAGAAAGAAGAAUCAAAAGCGAGUUUUUAGACUAAUUGGUCUAUUUGCCUCUCCUUUUGUGUGCUUUUUGAUUUUAAAGGAGAAUUUGUCUCUUUGUUCCUGCAAUUAUUUUUCCCUUUCAAUUUGUAAAUUGGUGGGGUCUGUCUUUUUUUUUUUUUUUUGCCAUUAUUGGACAGGGUCCACAAGACACACCAUCACAUGGGGUUGCUGACACUGCAUGUGGGCCACACAUUUAUAUAAUAUGCCAGGUUGUGUAUAGGCCCUACCCACCAGCACCUACCCAUGUGAGUGAUGCCACUUUCUCUCUCAUAUGCCCCUACCCCUACCCCUACCCCUACCCCUACCCCUACCCCUCUUUCUCUCUUGACAGGAAGGGACAUGCACAGAUCUUAAAGUAGGACUAGAUGCCCACACGAAUGACAAGAGUGCCCAGUUACUCGAAUCUUUUGGGCUCUGUGGCCUUGUGAAUGUGUGUCACUUAUAACUCAACACUGUGCAUUUUUAUUAUAUUUUUUUAACUUACCCUCUUCUAGGUGUUUGUGGAGACUGAAAAUGUUAAGCCCUACUACUACUACUACUUUGAAGUGUGGUUGAGUGAAAAGUUAAGUGGCACCUCGUGGAUAAGCACAAGCCGCAAUGUUGGCUGGUUGGUUUUGACACGUUUGUUGGUUACCUUUUAAUUUGAUUCAAAGUAAAGACCAUAGGCAUAUCAUA
This is an RNA transcript of Abrus precatorius (Indian licorice), 5063 nucleotides long. It is a transcript of the gene named zinc finger CCCH domain-containing protein 53, with no coding region annotated. The record is from RefSeq and is a predicted model, not a curated record. Lineage: Eukaryota; Viridiplantae; Streptophyta; Magnoliopsida; Fabales; Fabaceae. The transcript has 9 exons.